CUAUCCAGUGUCAAAAGAGUUCAAUAUAAAAUUAAAUGAAGUUGUAGCAUUGUCAAAAGGGUUCAAUAUAAAAUUAAAUGAAGUUGUAGUAUUGUGUAAUCUAAUGCAUAUCAGUCUAAAAUAUGGCUUCAUCUUGAUUAUCAUAGAUUGAGCUUUAGACUUAAACUACUUCUAUCAUGUUUUCCAUUGAGAAAGCCUUGCAACACCACUUGAAUUAUCUUAAUUAGAGCUAAGAUAGAUAAGGAAGUUAUGGGUAAAAUAUUGAAUUAGUAUCAGUGCAAUCUAGGUGCAAAAAUUAGAUAGCAAGGUGUCAACUAUCAGAUAAUCAGAAAGUAGUUCCAAUGCUGUCCAAUUAAUUUGGAAAGCACUAACCAUAUAAUUUAAUCUAAGUGGAUUUUCAAAUAUCUCUGAAGUCAGAUCAGGAUAGGUCCAAGUCAAUUUGAUGUCAAUUAGUAUGCCACUAGAGAUCAACUUGAAUGGCAGUUAGUAUGUUGUUAGAUCAACUUAGAUAGAAAUAAGUAUGCUAUCGAAUUUGUUUUGCUUCUAGAAGCAUCCACACAAUGAGUCUUAUCUAGGUGGUCUUAGGAUUUCUUUUUUGAGUUUUUCCUGAAUAAUGAGGACAGCUUGUUGACCUUAUCAACUGUAAGCUGUCUUAGAGCCUCUAAAUACCCUGUGUGUGGCCCCUCUUAUUAUCAAUAAAAAAAACUUGUUUAUUUAGGGACAACUCUUCACAUUUUGCCUUGCAUGGUGGGUUUCAUUCAAGCUUUAGUUGAUUAUGGGGACAACGGUGAGCCCAAUUAGUGGAAUGGUCAUGGCAUGCAAUGAUGGUGUAAGUUGGUAUGUCUUCAAUGAUAAUGGAGCCCUUUGAUAGUAAGGCAACAAGUUACUAGCUAUAUUUUAGUAUGAAUUUGUAUUAUAGCCUUUUAAAUUUUGAAAUAAUUCCUCCACUUUAUAAGUUCUAGGUUUAGAUUAAAUGUCAUAUGGUAUAAUUAAUUCUCAAAUUAUUCUUUCAU
This 1013-nucleotide long non-coding RNA is filed under the name Phoenix dactylifera (date palm). RNAcentral's name for it is "long non-coding RNA (PDAC_LNC002366)". Lineage: Eukaryota; Viridiplantae; Streptophyta; Magnoliopsida; Arecales; Arecaceae. The record is from RNAcentral.